Molecule: long non-coding RNA, 2094 nt
Organism: Oreochromis niloticus (Nile tilapia)
Lineage: Eukaryota; Metazoa; Chordata; Actinopteri; Cichliformes; Cichlidae
Exons: 11
Source: RefSeq, a predicted model, not a curated record
GCUUCACUGUUAGAACAUGCUGACUUUAGCACUGCAGCAGGGCUGGAUGUGACAAUGAGGCACUCUUUGUUCUGCAUGCUUGAUUUAUUAUUGUUCACUACGGUCUUCUAUGGAAAUGCUACAGAAGAGGAAUCGAGACUUUUUUAAAUCAAGAAGAAGAGGAAGCGACUGAAGGCAAAGGGAAGAAUUAAAUGGUGAAAGUUGAAGGAGGAAGAAUGCUGCACAGGGAGGAGUUGAGAAGAUCUGGGUGGUAGGCAAGAAUUACCAGACGACUGGGAAAGUACAAUUGUAGAGCCAGUAAACCUCGGGCCUUAAUAACAGCACAUGAGGGAGUCAUACCAGCAGGGGGCAGUGUGACACUGAGCUGCUCUGUGGAGGGCUCUGCUGGUUGGAAGUUUGACUGGUUCAGACGUGAUUCAGAGUUUUCUGGAGCUCAGAAAAUAGGAGCUGGAACAUCAGAGCACACUAUCAGUAUUUCAGAAGCAGGCAUCUAUUACUGCAGAGGAGGGAGAGGAGAUCCAGUUUUCUCCACAGAGGACAGUGUUCCAGUUAAAAUUAAGAAACGGGUCCUGUAUGUUGUAAAGUCGCAACACCGUUGGCCUCAGAUGUUCAUUGGUGAGACAAUCAUCCUUCAAUGUGAGAUCCAAGGAGGGGAAGACAAGGAGAUUACAUACGAAUGGAAAUCACCAAAUCCAAACAUCCCUGAAACAUCCAGUGAAUACAGGAUCAGCAGAGUUUCAGUGUCCCACAGUGGAGACUACAAGUGUCGGGGUAGCAGUGACUAUCUCUUAGCAAAAUGGAGUGACCCCUUCACACUGAUUGUCUUGUGAUGGAGAUAUUACUGGUUCAGACGUACCUCAGAGUCUUCUGCAGCCCAGAGAAUAACAAACGGAACAUCAUCCCACACUUUCAGUGUUUCAGAAGGAGGCAUCUAUUACUGCAGAGGAGGAAGAGGAGAUCCAGUUUUCUUCACAGAGGACAGUGUUUCAGUCACAAUUGAGACAAAUGGUUUCAGAUGUGAAAGCCAUUCGUUUCUUGUGCCUUUCAUCAUUGGACUUGUUUUUGGAAGUUUACUAACUGUUCCUGUGUUGUUGUGCUGUAUAUGCUGCCACACAAGGAUAAGAGAUCGCUGUAGAAACAGGUUCAUGCAGUCUCCAAACAUCAAUCAAUCCUCUGCUGCACCCCAAACUCCCAACCAAAGUGACACUCAGAUUUACUCCUCUCUUCUCCACGGUGAUCUUUCUGUCUAUGAAUCGAUCAGAAACUCUGGAAUCACUCGAAGUGACUUUCAUUCGCGUCACCCACAUCCUCCCAAUCGCCACCUCACUAACACCUCAGUCAGAGCUCCAUCCAAGCCUCAGUCUUCAUCUUCACCACCAGAGUCUAGACUCCAGGGGAAACUCUCCUAAGUCCUAUCACUGUUUGGAUUCUGUUCUGCCAUGAUGGGUCAUUGAAGUUGAACUGCCAAAGGCAUUAAUUCAUUUCUCUAUCUUAAUAAAUCAUAUUCAAUUCCUCCAAGUUAUACUUCCUUAUUGAACUAAUAGAGUCUACCUUUGUACUAGUCCAUAUUAUUUUUAUUUUUGUUGAAUGUAGUUUGUAUAUUAAAUAGUGUGGGAACAUAUAUAUAUAUAUGCAUGUAUAGAAAUGUGUGUUGUGAUGUUUACUUCAUUAGAUGCUGUAAAUUUUAAGUAUGAUGCUGAUUUCACAUCAGACACAAGCUCUCCUUUUUGCCUUUAUCUGAUGAUCUGUUUUACUUCUUUGAUUACUUGUUACUUACUGGUUACUUUAAUAAAUCUAACAAAGACAACCUGGUUAUGUGUACAUAAGUGUGUUUCAGAUUUCCGUAAGAUAUGAUCUCCUUUCAAGCUUCUGAUUGGUCAACAUGGUUUUAGGGCACCGGUCCCCAACCUUUUUUGCGCCACAUUUAAUGUCAGACAAUAUUUUCACGGACCUGCGAUUAAGGUGUCGCCGAUAAAUACAACAAAAUAAAAUGAUACGACCGAGACAAAAACUGUGGCAUUUUGUAAAUAUAAUAAUAAACGUGAAUUCACUGUGUAAUUGUGUAACUUUAUUAGCAGUGUCCUCCUGAAAUGU